GACGAACGCUGGCGGCAGGCUUAACACAUGCAAGUCGAGCGCCCACUUCGGUGGGAGCGGCAGACGGGUGAGUAACGCGUGGGAACAUGCCCUUCGGUACGGAAUAGCCCCGGGAAACUGGGUGUAAUACCGUAUACGACCUCCGGGUGAAAGAUUUAUCGCCGAAGGAUUGGCCCGCGUUAGAUUAGCUAGUUGGUGGGGUAAAGGCCUACCAAGGCGACGAUCUAUAGCUGGUCUGAGAGGACGACCAGCCACACUGGGACUGAGACACGGCCCAGACUCCUACGGGAGGCAGCAGUGGGGAAUAUUGGACAAUGGGCGAAAGCCUGAUCCAGCCAUGCCGCGUGGAUGAAGAAGGCCCUAGGGUUGUAAAGUCCUUUCGAUGGUGAAGAUAAUGACGGUAACCA
Molecule: ribosomal RNA, 407 nt
Filed under: uncultured bacterium
Lineage: Bacteria
Description: bacterial SSU rRNA
Rfam family: Bacterial small subunit ribosomal RNA
Source: RNAcentral